GAUGAACGCUGGCGGUAUGCUUAACACAUGCAAGUCGAACGGACUCUUCGGAGUUAGUGGCGGACGGGUGAGUAACGCGUGAGAAUCUGGCUUUGGGUUCGGGACAACCACUGGAAACGGUGGCUAAUACCGGAUGUGCCGAGAGGUAAAAGAGAAAUUGCCUGAAGAUGAGCUCGCGUCUGAUUAGCUAGUUGGUGAGGUAAAGGCUCACCAAUGCAGCGAUCAGUAGCUGGUCUGAGAGGAUGACCAGACACACUGGGACUGAGACACGGCCCAGACUCCUACGGGAGGCAGCAGUGGGGAAUUGUCCGAAAGGGGCGAAAGCCUGACGGAGCAAUACCGCGUGAGGGAAGAAGGCUCUUGGGUUGUAAACCUCUUUUCUUAGAGAAGAACAAAAUGACGGUACCUAAGGAAUCAGCAUCGGCUAACUCCGUG
This 435-nucleotide ribosomal RNA is filed under the name uncultured bacterium. Its description in RNAcentral is "partial 16S ribosomal RNA". It matches the Rfam family "Bacterial small subunit ribosomal RNA", at positions 28 to 507 of the family's 1533-position model. The record is from RNAcentral.